UACGUAGGGUGCGAGCGUUGUCCGGAAUUACUGGGCGUAAAGCGCGUGUAGGCUGCUUCGCAAGUCGGAUGUGAAAGCCCUGGGCUCAACCCAGGAAGUGCAUUCGAAACUGCAGAGCUGGAGUCCUGGAGAGGAAGGCGGAAUUCUCGGUGUAGAGGUGAAAUUCGUAGAUAUCGAGAGGAACACCGGUGGCGAAGGCGGCCUUCUGGACAGUGACUGACGCUGAGACGCGAAAGCGUGGGGAGCAAACGGG
Molecule: ribosomal RNA, 253 nt
Filed under: uncultured bacterium
Lineage: Bacteria
Description: partial 16S ribosomal RNA
Rfam family: Bacterial small subunit ribosomal RNA
Source: RNAcentral